This 81-nucleotide ribosomal RNA is filed under the name Salvator merianae (Argentine black and white tegu). Lineage: Eukaryota; Metazoa; Chordata; Lepidosauria; Squamata; Teiidae. The record is from RNAcentral.
GAUCUCAAACAAGCUAAGGAGAGUUGGACAUGGUUAGUAUUUGAAUAGNAGACCACCAGGAAAUCCUUGGGUUUGAGGUUA